UUGGUAUUGGUGAAACUUCUUCACUCUUUCCGGUAGACCUGAAAGACGGUUCUUCAGACAGCGACUCUAGUGCAAUUUCUUCAUCCGGGGUCCUUCAAAGUCAGCAGCACCUUUUGUUGUCUCCUGAAUCUUCCUCCAUGAAUUGUUUCCAGUACCAGAAAUCUUAUCAUGUGAAGAUGGAGGAGCACAAUUUCUUAAGUGCGGAUGAGGCGUGCAACUUUUUCUCCGACGAGCAAGCACCAACCCUACAAUGGUACUGUCCUGACCAGUGGAGUUAAAAUUAAAAGCAACAAAAAGGUUAAGGGUUUUAAUGUGAAAAGAAAUAAUUUCUCAAAGAG
RNAcentral lists this long non-coding RNA (338 nucleotides) under Medicago truncatula (barrel medic). RNAcentral's name for it is "long non-coding RNA (MTRU_LNC001001)". The record is from RNAcentral. Lineage: Eukaryota; Viridiplantae; Streptophyta; Magnoliopsida; Fabales; Fabaceae.